This 464-nucleotide ribosomal RNA is filed under the name uncultured bacterium. RNAcentral's name for it is "partial 16S ribosomal RNA". It matches the Rfam family "Bacterial small subunit ribosomal RNA", at positions 28 to 506 of the family's 1533-position model. The record is from RNAcentral.
GACGAACGCUGGCGGCGUGCUUAACACAUGCAAGUCGAACGGAAAGGCCCCUUUGGGGGUCCUCGAGUGGCGCACGGGUGCGUAACACGUGAGUAACCUGCCCUUGACUUCGGGAUAACUUCAGGAAACUGGGGCUAAUACCGGAUAGGAAUCCUUGCUGCAUGGUGGGGGUUGGAAAGCUUCUGCGGUUUUGGAUGGACUCGCGGCUUAUCAGCUUGUUGGUGGGGUAGUGGCUUACCAAGGCUUUGACGGGUCGCCGGCCUGAGAGGGCGACCGGCCACAUUGGGACUGAGAUACGGCCCAGACUCCUACGGGAGGCAGAAGUGGGGAAUAUUGCACAAUGGGCGGAAGCCUGAUGCAGCAACGCCGCGUGCGGGAUGACGGCCUUCGGGUUGUAAACCGCUUUCAGCAGGGGCGAAGCUUGUGGUGACGGUACCUGCAGAAGAAGCACCGGCUAACUACGU